Molecule: ribosomal RNA, 220 nt
Filed under: uncultured bacterium
Lineage: Bacteria
Description: partial 16S ribosomal RNA
Rfam family: Bacterial small subunit ribosomal RNA
Source: RNAcentral
AGGGUUUGAUCAUGGCUCAGGACGAACGCUGGCGGCAUGCCUAACACAUGCAAGUCGAACGAGAAAGUUCCUUCGGGAGCAAUUAAAGUGGCGCACGGGUGAGUAACGCGUAGACAAUCUGCCCUUCAGUCUGGGACAACUUUUCGAAAGGAGAGCUAAUACCGGAUAACAAUGCAUGACACAAGUUGUAUAUUUGAAAGCUUUAUGUGCUGAAGGAGGG